AUCUAGCUACUGGCAAUGUCUUAAUUAUUUUCCUAUUUUGCCCUUGCCCUUUCCAUGUGCUCUCUAGCGUACUCUUCUCCGGUGACUCUCUUCAACCUGAACCUCUGUCACCACCUUCCUUCUUCCUCGUUUCUCCUCCCAGCCUUAAUCUGAAUAAACAAGAGAAGCGUUUCUAGAGUAACGCAAGAGCGAAGACUUGCGAGUUUGAAAAUUUGUUCUAUGGUUUCCAUGAUUCAGAGUUAAGAGGAAACAGAAUAUGGAGGAUCAGAUGGUAACACUUAUGUGUCGUUGGAAUGGGAAGAUUACAACUGCAUCACUGGGUUUGGAUUAUGAAGGUGGUAAGCUGAAGGGAAUCAGGGUCAAUCAUAGUAUUAGUCAUUCAGAGUUGUUGGAUAAAAUGUAUGAGAUAACUGGCUAUAACAGGAAGCAGUUUGAUAUCAAGAUUACAUGUAGAUAUCCAGUGUCUAGGGGAUACAUAGCCUACCUGAUAGAUGACAAGGAUUCCACUGAAAUAAUGCUUGAAUUGGGACAACAUCCUGAUGUACAUGCUGUUGAGUUGUACUUGGUAAAUGAAACUUUACACAUUGAGAGUGGAAGGGAUGAUCCAGUACUUUUCCAGAGUGGUCCAGACUAUGAGGGGAGAGAGGAGUCUCCCCACAUCAAUGUUGGAAGUGAGAAGGAUGGGACUGGGGAUCCUGUUCAGGAACUAAAUGAAGCAGAAGGCAAUGCCUGGGUGUCAGAAGCUAAUGCCAACAACAAUAUUGCAGAAGUUGAACGGGAACCUAUUGAUGAGUUCACAAAUGUGAGCUGGGUGAAUGAUGCGGUUGCCAGUAACCAUGUAGCAGGAGUUCUAGUUGUUCCAGAGAAUGUAAAAGAUGUGCUACAUGUUGGCCAAAUAUUUCAAACAAAACAACAAUUACAGCAUGCUGUGAAAGAAUAUGCUAUCAGGACACAUCAGCAGUACAUUGUCCUAGAGUCAACCCCAUCGUUGCUGGCUCUGAAGUGUAAAAAUAAAGGUUGUCUGUGGAGGCUUCGUGCAUCUUUGAAGAAGAAUUCCUCCUCUUCAUGUUUUGCCAUUACAAGAUAUGCAGGGCCACACACUUGUGUCAAGCCCAGCAUUAUCCAGGACCAUGCGCAGUUAGAUGCUGAAUUCAUUUGUAGUAAAAUACUGGGGCUGGUCAAAGCACAAUUAUCAAUCACACCAGCGGAAAUUCAGGCACAUAUGGCAAAUACCUAUGACUAUAAUAUUUCAUAUAUGAAGGCAUGGAAGGCAAAACAGAAGGCGUUUGAGAAGAUAUUUGGCAACUGGGAAGAAUCGUUUGCCUUGUUGCCAAGAUAUCUCGAUGCGUUGAAAAUGAAAAACCCUGGCACCAUUGUCUUGUUACAAUCUGAGCAUGUAAGUGGUCAGUCCAGUGUAUUUGAGCGUGUGUUUUGGGCAUUUGGCCCCUCAAUUGAGGGAUUCAAGCAUUGUCGGCCUGUAAUAAGCAUCGACAGCACACAAUUGUCUGGGAAGUAUGGGGGAAUGCUGUUAAUUGCAACUGGAGUUGAUGGGAACAAUGGCUUAUUUCCCCUUGCAUUUGCUAUUGUUGUGAAGGAGAACGGGAGUAAUUGGUCAUGGUUUUUGGAUAAUGUUAGAGACAUUGUUGGUAAUCAAAAUGGACUUUGUAUUAUAUCGGAUUGCCACAAUGAUAUCUUAGCGGCAAUGAGGAGGCCGGAUUGGCAAGAACCGAAUGCCUUUCAUCGCAUUUGCAUGCGUCACUUAGCCAGCAAUUUUAAUAGGAGGUUUCAUGAUGCUGCUUUAAAGAACCUUCUCAUUAGGGCUGCAGAGAAAAAUCAAUGUCAAAAGUAUGAUAGGAUUAUUGAGUUAAUAACCAACAUUAGUCUGAAUGCUCGGCAAUGGAUAGAUGAAAUUCCUGCUAUGCAAUGGGCUCUUGCACAUGAUGAUUUCCACCGUUUUGGAAUCAUGACAACAAACAUGUCAGAAACUGUCAACAGUGUACUGAAAGGAGCUCGUGCAUUGCCAAUAACAGCGUUAGUGAGACUAACAUUUUACCGAUUGAACACAUACUUCAUCACGCGAAGGGAGCAAAUGGCAGCAUAUGGGUCACAGUUCACUCCACUUGUUGAGGGGAAACUUGCAUGUUAUAUGAGCAGAGCAGCAGGGCAUGGGGUUAAGUGGUUAAAUGAUGUACCUGAUCUUUUUGAAGUGAUUACCAAAGGAACUAAAGGCGAGCCUCAUACCCAUGUUGUAAAUCUAGGGGCCCGCAUAUGUACAUGUGGAAAACUUCAGAUUUAUGGCUAUCCAUGCUCGCAUGUGAUUGCAGUGUGCCAGUCAAUUAUGUUGGAUCCCCAGACUCUUGUUGAUGAUUGGUAUAAAGUCAACACUUUUGCACUAACAUAUGCUUCUGGUUUUCAUUCUGUACCUGACAUAGGCUCCUGGCCUCCUUAUGAAGGACCUAGCAUAGUCCCUCCCCCAGAUAGAGAACGUACCAGAGGUCGGCCACAGUCAGUGCAAUUGCAGAAUGAGAUGGAUGAGCAUGGUCGUCGUUGUGUAGGCCCAGAGAGGGAAGGUCGUGGGCCGUCAAACUGUAGUGCAUGCAAAAAACCAGGGCACAACCGUCGACGUUGUUUGUUAGCCCAGGGAGGAGCAUCAGCAUAAGCGCAGCAAAGCCAUUCUCAUCCUAGUUGAUACUUGAUAAUUCAUUGGUGAAAAGUUGGAUGAACAAUAUGGAAGGGAUUGAAGCAUACACAGCUGAUCAGGGACACGGGAGUAAUAUGAUUAUCUAGGAAUAUCUUAUUCCAUUGGAGUCAGCUUUCUGGAAACCUCCAAGGACAUGAAUUGGAAAAGAGUAGGUUAGUAAGGAUUAUAUGUACACUGAAAAUAUCCUACAGCAGAGCCCCUUUUCCUCCUCUCUUUUAUUCCUUCUAUGUUUCCUGCUAGCAGGUUUUAUAUUUAUUUUUUCUGUUUUCUAUAAUGAAGUUGCCAAGUUGGUCAUUCAUUAGGGAGGGAGGUAAAGAAGGAAUUGGGGUUUGCAUUUAAUUUUCCACUGUCAAUUGAAAUCUGAUCGUAAGGUCAUCCUUUGCUUGUUCUACUUAGCUAUAAAUCUAUGUUGUCAGUUGAAAUUUCUGCCGUAAACUUUAGCCAAUAUUUCUAGAAAAAAAAAAGAAGAAAAACUUAGUCAUUAUUGUUAUUUAUUGUAGUAUUCUAUUUCCUACUUUUUAAGCUGUUUUGAUUAUUAAUGAAGUUGUUUUUCAGAAGAAGACAAUAGUCUAGCUAUCAACAGAGAGGAGUGAGCAUUUCUUCUUGAGCAAGUACCCCUGAGUCCCUGACUACUAUGAAAAUGUAAACGUUGAUGUCUGAUGAAAUAUUCAAUCUAAUAUUUUGUCAAAUUGGUCAAACCACUUUUUAGCACAGUUCAACAUGGAUUUAAUAUAGUAUAAAAAAUGAUAUGUUUUAAUAAAUAUAUUAAAAUCAUUACAAAAUAAUUGUCUGGUGUUCUGUGAGGAAUCAAGCCCAGAACUAACUUGUGUUGUUGAAACUAUCAUAGCAUUCUUUUUAUUGUCCUUUGUGUUAUUCCCAAAAGUUUUUUCUGUUAGGGGUAUAAAAGAGUUUUCAAAAUAUUUUGAAAGUGACUUAUCAUUAUGUCAUUGUCUCAUACACUUUUUGAGUACACAUGUGAAAUGAUAGGAUUUUAUCCCUAUGGAAAGAAAAUGUAUAAUACUAAGAGGGAAAAAAAUAAGGUUACAAAUUAUUUGACAUCUUAAGGGGUAUCAAUAAGAGAAUCCGUUAUUUAAAAGUUGAAAUUCUUUAAAGUUUACGGAUAUAUCAUAUAUGUAGAUUGAGAUGUCAUUAUGGGCAGUCUUGUUUCACCAGGACAUUGGGUACAUGAGGUGCACUUUGGAAAACUGCUUAUUUCCUAAUUUAUCAAAUGUUACACAGGCAGAUAUCAUCCUGAUUUAUCAACUGUUUCACAAACAUCAAUUCACCAAAAAACCACUGCUGAUGCGGUAAAUUUGCCAACAACAAAUGAUCAAUCAAUCUUAUGAAAUUCCUGGGGAAAAUUAGGUCUGCUCUUUCUGAUGGAUUUCCUUCUGCCAAGUAUUUCAACUGCAUUAUUCGUAUUUCUUUUAUGGAGCAUCAAACAUUCCUCAAGCUGAAGCACUAUCUUCACUUUAUGUGCAUGGCCUUAGAGUGGGUUCUGUGGUGGUUUUUCCUCAGUUCUAGUGUGCAUGGAGGUAAGAGUACACAAUGUGUUGUGUUUCCUGAGAUUCUUGAGAGGGUCCAUGUAGCUACAAAUCCAGGAAUCAGAUUUGGAACUGGAGAACAGCUAGCACCUUUAUCAUAGGGAUGACAAUUUAGAAGACUGAUAAAAUAUUCAAGCAGCUCUAAAAAUGAGCCAGAGUACUGCUUGAUGUGAGUGGUGGCUUCUUAGACAGUUAUGGUGGUUUGUCUGACUGGGAUUUUAGGUGGUUGGACCUAAUAUCUCCACAUGGCAGAUUAGUUGGGGCCCAAAUUUCAACUCAAUUAAGAGUUGCCCUUGCGGUGACUAAAAAGCUCUGAAGAUUUCAUCAAAGGCAUACUGAGUGCAAUGAGGCUCCUCCCACUGCGGGGUUUGGGGAAGGUCAUUACUUUUUGAAAAACCAAUGGGUGAUUGAAAAUGCAAGGGAAAUUAAGAUGCUAAUACAUAGGGGUAAUUAUUAUUAUUAUUGUUCUUUUUUGGAAAAAUUGACAUAUGGCCAGUCCAAA
Molecule: RNA transcript, 4747 nt
Organism: Macadamia integrifolia
Lineage: Eukaryota; Viridiplantae; Streptophyta; Magnoliopsida; Proteales; Proteaceae
Exons: 4
Source: RefSeq, a predicted model, not a curated record